This 110-nucleotide non-coding RNA is filed under the name Rattus norvegicus (Norway rat). The stretch from base 7 to 75 matches the Rfam family "tRNA". Rfam says of the family: Transfer RNA (tRNA) molecules are approximately 80 nucleotides in length. Their secondary structure includes four short double-helical elements and three loops (D, anti-codon, and T loops). Lineage: Eukaryota; Metazoa; Chordata; Mammalia; Rodentia; Muridae. The record is from RNAcentral.
GGGGUUGGGGAUUUAGCUCAGUGGUAGAGCGCUUGCCUAGGAAGCGCAAGGCCCUGGGUUCGGUCCCCAGCUCCGAAAAAAAGAACCAAGAAAAAAAAAGAAAACAGGAU